UAUAUUCUUUAAAAUUAAAAUAUUUGGCGGUAUUUUAUUCCGUUCAGAGGAACCUGUUUAAUAAUUGAUAUUCCACAAUUUAAUUAACUUUUAUUUUUAAUUUGUAUAUCGUUGUUAUUUUGAAUAUUUUAUAAGAAUUAAUUUUCAAUUUUUAAAAUUUUAAUUUAUUUCAAAUCAAGAUGCAGUAUAUGUAAAAGUUAAAAUGGGUUACAUUAUAUUUAUAUUUAGUUUAUAAUUUCUAAAUUUAUAUUAAAUUGGAUUUGAGAGUAAUUUUUAAUUAUUAUUAUUAUUGAUUUAGGUACUAAAAUAUGUACAUAUUGCCCGUCGCUUUCAUUAUUUUGAAAUAAGUCGUAACAUAGUAGAUGUACUGGAAAGUGUAUCUAGAAAGACAAAUUAUAGCUAUUAGCUUUUUUAUUUACAUUAAAAAAUUAUUGAUUGUUCAGUUAAUUUGAAAUUAAAUAAAUUUAUUUAAAAUUAAUUUAUUGAACUAUCUUUUUUUUAUUAUUUACAUAGAAAAAUUUAAAUUAAUAAUAAUAAACUAGUGAAGUAAUUGAAUAUUAAUUAUAAUUGUUAUAGGAGAUUUAUUAAUUGGAAAUUAAAAGUUAAUCGUUUUUUAAUAAAUCUAGUUUUUUUAGAAAAAAAUUUAAUUUUAUCAUUAUUUUUAAUAUUUAAAUUAAUUAAAUAUAAAUUUUAAUAUUAAAUAUAUAUUGGGAUAAGCUUAUAUAUAUAAAUUUAAAAAAUUAUUAUUAUUUAUAAAAUGUAUAAUUUAAAUUAUUAAUCUUUAAUAUAAUUUAAUAAUUAAUUUUAUUUUUUUUUAUUUUUUAUUAGUUUUUAAAUUUUUUAUUUAAAUUUAAAUUUAAAUUUUAAUAUUUAGUAAUAAUGAUUAAAUUAGUAAAUAAAAAAUAUAAUUUAUAAAUAAAUUUAAGAUUAUGAAAAGGAAUUCGGCAAAUUAUCUUUCGCCUGUUUAUUAAAAACAUGUCUUUUUGAUUAUAAUUUAAAGUCUAAUCUGCUCAAUGAAAUUUUAAAUUGCUGCAGUAUCUUAACUGUACUAAGGUAGCAUAAUAAUUAGGUUUUUAAUUAAAAUCUAGUAUGAAUGAUUUAACGAAAAGAUUUCUGUCUCUUUAUAAUUAUUAUUGAAUUUUACUUUUAAGUUAAAAGGCUUAAAUAUAUUUAAAAGACAAGAAGACCCUAUAGAGUUUAAUUUUAUAAUUAAUUAAUUUUUUAGUAUUAAUAAUUUUAAUUUUACGUAAAAUUUAAUUGGGACGAUUUCAAGAUUAAUAAAACUCUUGUAUUUAUAAUCAUAAAUUUAUGAAUAAAAAAAUUAUUUGAAUAGUUUUAAAGUAAAUUACCUUAGGGAUAACAGCGUUAUUUUAUUUUAAAGUUCAAAUUAAAAAUAAAGUUUACGACCUCGAUGUUGGAUUAAAGUUAACUUAAGGAGCAAAAACUUUAAAGGUUAAGUCUGUUCGAC
This 1468-nucleotide ribosomal RNA is filed under the name Phausis reticulata. Its description in RNAcentral is "partial 16S ribosomal RNA". The record is from RNAcentral. Lineage: Eukaryota; Metazoa; Arthropoda; Insecta; Coleoptera; Lampyridae.